GACGAACGCUGGCGGCGUGCUUAACACAUGCAAGUCGAACGGAAAGGCCCUGCUUUUGUGGGGUGCUCGAGUGGCGAACGGGUGAGUAACACGUGAGUAACCUGCCCUUGACUUUGGGAUAACUUCAGGAAACUGGGGCUAAUACCGGAUAGGAGCUCCUGCUGCAUGGUGGGGGUUGGAAAGUUUCGGCGGUUGGGGAUGGACUCGCGGCUUAUCAGCUUGUUGGUGGGGUAGUGGCUUACCAAGGCUUUGACGGGUAGCCGGCCUGAGAGGGUGACCGGCCACAUUGGGACUGAGAUACGGCCCAGACUCCUACGGGAGGCAGCAGGGGGGAAUAUUGCACAAUGGGCGGAAGCCUGAUGCAGCAACGCCGCGUGCGGGAUGACGGCCUUCGGGUUGUAAACCGCUUUCGCCUGUGACGAAGCGUGAGUGACGGUACUGGGUAAAGAAGCACCGGCUAACUACGUG
This 468-nucleotide ribosomal RNA is filed under the name uncultured bacterium. RNAcentral describes it as "partial 16S ribosomal RNA". It matches the Rfam family "Bacterial small subunit ribosomal RNA", at positions 28 to 507 of the family's 1533-position model. The record is from RNAcentral.